GACGAACGCUGGCGGCGUGCUUAACACAUGCAAGUCGAACGGAAAGGCCCUGCUUUUGUGGUGUGCUCGAGUGGCGAACGGGUGAGUAACACGUGAGUAACCUGCCCUUGACUUUGGGAUAACUUCAGGAAACUGGGGCUAAUACCGGAUAGGAGCUCCUGCUGCAUGGUGGGGGUUGGAAAGUUUCGGCGGUUGGGGAUGGACUCGCGGCUUAUCAGCUUGUUGGUGGGGUAGUGGCUUACCAAGGCUUUGACGGGUAGCCGGCCUGAGAGGGUGACCGGCGACAUUGGGACUGAGAUACGGCGCAGACGCCUACGGGAGGCAGCAGUGGGGAGUAUUGCACAAUGGGCGGAAGCCUGAUGCAGCAACGCCGCGUGCGGGAUGACGGCCUUCGGGUUGUAAACCGCUUUCGCCUGUGACGAAGCGUGAGUGACGGUAAUGGGUAAAGAAGCACCGGCUAACUACGUG
This 468-nucleotide ribosomal RNA is filed under the name uncultured bacterium. RNAcentral's name for it is "partial 16S ribosomal RNA". It matches the Rfam family "Bacterial small subunit ribosomal RNA", at positions 28 to 507 of the family's 1533-position model. The record is from RNAcentral.